RNAcentral lists this ribosomal RNA (332 nucleotides) under uncultured bacterium. RNAcentral's name for it is "bacterial SSU rRNA". It matches the Rfam family "Bacterial small subunit ribosomal RNA", at positions 568 to 898 of the family's 1533-position model. The record is from RNAcentral.
CGUGUAGGCGGGAAUGCAAGUCAGAUGUGAAAUACCGAGGCUUAACUUCGGGGCUGCAUCUGAAACUGCGUUUCUUGAGUGCUGGAGAGGAAAGCGGAAUUCCUAGUGUAGCGGUGAAAUGCGUAGAUAUUAGGAGGAACACCAGUGGCGAAGGCGGCUUUCUGGACAGUAACUGACGCUGAGGCGCGAAAGCGUGGGGAGCAAACAGGAUUAGAUACCCUGGUAGUCCACGCUGUAAACGAUGGAUACUAGGUGUAGGAGGUAUCGACCCCUUCUGUGCCGGAGUUAACACAAUAAGUAUCCCACCUGGGGAGUACGGCCGCAAGGUUGAA